AUACGUAGGGUGCAAGCGUUAAUCGGAAUUACUGGGCGUAAAGCGUGCGCAGGCGGUUUUGUAAGACAGAGGUGAAAUCCCCGGGCUCAACCUGGGAACUGCCUUUGUGACUGCCAGGCUAGAGUACGGCAGAGGGGGAUGGAAUUCCUCGGGUAGGAGUGAAAUGCGUAGAUAUGCGGAGGAACACCGAUGGCGAAGGCAAUCCCCUGGGCCUGUACUGACGCUCAUGCACGAAAGCGUGGGGAGCAAACAGGAUUAGAUACCCUGGUAGUCCACGCCCUAAACGAUGUCAACUGGUUGUUGGGUCUUCAUUGACUCAGUAACGAAGCUAACGCGUGAAGUUGACCGCCUGGGGAGUACGGCCGCAAGGUUGAAACUCAAAUGAAUUGGCGGGG
Molecule: ribosomal RNA, 395 nt
Filed under: uncultured bacterium
Lineage: Bacteria
Description: partial 16S ribosomal RNA
Rfam family: Bacterial small subunit ribosomal RNA
Source: RNAcentral